ACUAUAUGCUCAUCCGCUAUAAGCUAGUUUAUCGGCUAUCCACUAUUUUUAAUAAGCAAAUAGCCUACUUAUAGUUUAUGACGCAAAAUUGGAUGAUGCCAUAAAAACUUAAUAGAUUUGCUUUAAUGAGAAUCCUUGUGUUGUUUGUUUGUAAGCGAGACAAGAGGACACAGACAGAAUGACUCAAAAUGGCGACAUAAUGCCUCUCUUUCGUUUACACUGUAAUGCAAUGGGAUAGAUAGAUUUGUGGGAAGAGAGAAUUUUGAAUAGAAAGUGAAACUUGGCAACGCCCUAUAAAUAGCAGUGAUGAUAUUGUCAUCAUAUACCCAUUGCCAUUGCCAUUGCUGCUACUUUCUUCCUUCUUACCGUACCACUUACCCAAACUUCCUUCCUACUUUUUUCUUCUUCAAAUCUCAAGCUUCCUCUUCAGAACAACAACGACAACAAGAAGAAUGGGUUCACUCUCUGCCUUCCAUGAUGAGGCCAUCCAAUAUCCUAUUCCUCGCAGAGACCACUCCGUCGUUGACAACUAUCACGGCAUUAACAUUUCCGACCCUUGUUCAAAAAAAAAACAUUUCCGAUCCUUACUGAUGGCUUGAAAACCCUGAUGCAACUAGUCAAAGACAAUUUGUACAAAAACAGGUUGUGUUGACGGAUUCAGUGCUCAAAACAUGCCAUUAUUUUAGAACCAAACUUGGUAGCACAGGUUUUGCUUGAUCCCAAUGUUCUCAGUGACGAUGGCACCGUUUCAAUUCUGAAAUUUAUAUUUUUUUUUAUAAUUCUGAAAUUUAUAUUGUUUUUGCUUUGGAAGUUAGCAUUAUAACUAGGUUCAAUUGAAUAACAGGAAAUGAAAGGCCAGGACAACCCUUUGAUCCCAUAAAAGUGUCCAAUUAAUUUCGUUUUUAAGCCUGUAGCUUACUUAUAGUUUAUGAUUUUUUUGAAUUUUUGACUUUGGGUAGUUUAUUUCUACUCACUUGAGUUUGGAAAAUAUAUAUGUAGCUUAAUGUCUCUUAUGGAGAAGAAAAUGCUUUGGUUUCUCAAGAUAAUAUUGUCUUCAUUCAAGGGAUAUGUCUUGUGUUGAUUGAGUUCCCCUUGGGUUCUCAUAUGAUGUCUCGUACACAAUUUACAUCACAUGCCACACCCUUAGUGUGUAUAAUUGAAUCAACCUUGUAGUGGUAAACAAUUUACAUCACUUUUGAUUUUUACUAUUGAGGUGUGACUGCUUAAGGUUUUAACUUCAGAAUAGGAGAUGAAGAAGGCCAUGGCUGUUGCAAAACACUGAGAUAGGACAUGGAGUGACACUGAUUCUUUUGGAAAAUAUGUGUGUUACACUACUGAACAGAUUCACCUUUGGAACAGGUCUGGUGUUUUUGUGAGCUUCCACUAACUUUCAAGCUUGAAUUUCUCACUCCUCUUCAAAGCUGGAAUUUGAAGUGGAAAACAAAGCUCAUGGCAUUGGAAAUAUAAACAAAUUAAGCAAGGGAACAAGAGGUCCCAGGCAGAUAAUUUUCACAGACAUACCAAUAAAUAUGAGUGAUAUGAUGCAUACUACCAAUUAAUGUUGCUUUAGUUGCAUGUACUGCCUCUCUCAAUAUUACGGAUUUAACCGAUGAUUAGUUCGUUUAGUGGUGAUCGACGUCAAAUUUAAUAGGAAGGACAUGGUUUCGACGUCAAAUUAUAUGUACAGACAUAGCAAUAAAUAUGAGUGAUAUGAUGCAUACCAAUUAAUUAAUGUUGCUUUAGUUGCAUGUACUGCCUCUCUCAAUAUUAUGGAUUUAACUGAUGAUUAAUUUUUUUUUUAUAAGAAACUAAUGAUUAAUUG
This is a long non-coding RNA of Trifolium pratense (red clover), 1822 nucleotides long. RefSeq lists it as uncharacterized. Lineage: Eukaryota; Viridiplantae; Streptophyta; Magnoliopsida; Fabales; Fabaceae. The transcript has 4 exons. The record is from RefSeq and is a predicted model, not a curated record.